This 464-nucleotide ribosomal RNA is filed under the name uncultured Klebsiella sp. RNAcentral's name for it is "bacterial SSU rRNA". It matches the Rfam family "Bacterial small subunit ribosomal RNA", at positions 338 to 795 of the family's 1533-position model. The record is from RNAcentral. Lineage: Bacteria; Pseudomonadati; Pseudomonadota; Gammaproteobacteria; Enterobacterales; Enterobacteriaceae.
CCUACGGGCGGCAGCAGUGGGGAAUAUUGCACAAUGGGCGCAAGCCUGAUGCAGCCAUGCCGCGUGUGUGAAGAAGGCCUUCGGGUUGUAAAGCACUUUCAGCGGGGAGGAAGGCGUCAAGGUUAAUAACCUUGUCGAUUGACGUUACCCGCAGAAGAAGCACCGGCUAACUCCGUGCCAGCAGCCGCGGUAAUACGGAGGGUGCAAGCGUUAAUCGGAAUUACUGGGCGUAAAGCGCACGCAGGCGGUCUGUCAAGUCGGAUGUGAAAUCCCCGGGCUCAACCUGGGAACUGCAUUCGAAACUGGCAGGCUAGAGUCUUGUAGAGGGGGGUAGAAUUCCAGUGUAGCGGUGAAAUGCGUAGAGAUCUGGAGGAAUACCGGUGGCGAAGGCGGCCCCCUGGACAAAGACUGACGCUCAGGUGCGAAAGCGUGGGGAGCAAACAGGAUUAGAUACCCGAGUAGUC